GUGAGGAAUAUUGGUCAAUGGGCGAGAGCCUGAACCAGCCAAGUCGCGUGAAGGAAGAAGGAUCUAUGGUUCGUAAACUUCUUUUGCAGGGGAAUAAAGUGCGGGACGUGUCCUGUUUUGUAUGUACCCUGAGAAUAAGGAUCGGCUAACUCCGUGCCAGCAGCCGCGGUAAUACGGAGGAUCCGAGCGUUAUCCGGAUUUAUUGGGUUUAAAGGGUGCGUAGGUGGUUUGAUAAGUCAGCGGUGAAAGUUUGCAGCUUAACUGUAAAAUUGCCGUUGAAACUGUCGAUCUUGAAUGCAAAUGAGGUAAGCGGAAUGUGUUGUGUAGCGGUGAAAUGCUUAGAUAUAAAACAGAACACCGAUUGCGAAGGCAGCUUACUGGGAUGCAACUGACGCUCAUGCACGAAAGCGUGGGGAUCAAACAGGAUUAGAUACCCGGGUAGUCC
Molecule: ribosomal RNA, 445 nt
Filed under: uncultured bacterium
Lineage: Bacteria
Description: partial 16S ribosomal RNA
Rfam family: Bacterial small subunit ribosomal RNA
Source: RNAcentral